This is an RNA transcript of Phlebotomus papatasi, 837 nucleotides long. It is a transcript of the gene named probable 28S ribosomal protein S25, mitochondrial, with no coding region annotated. Lineage: Eukaryota; Metazoa; Arthropoda; Insecta; Diptera; Psychodidae. The record is from RefSeq and is a predicted model, not a curated record. The transcript is spliced from 5 exons.
UUAUUCCGGGAUCGAGAAAAUCCAGCUCCAGAAAUGCCGUUUAUGAAGGGAAAGGCUCCCAUCCGGAGGACAAUACAGUACCUCAAAUCAGGAAGGCUUGAACUGAAAAAACAAGUGAAGAUUUUCAGUGUAAACUACAAUACUUUCGGUGAUCAUCACAAGGGAGCCAGGGAUUAUGUCUUCUGGAACCUACCUCAAAUUCAGUACAAGAAUCCUGAUGUUCAAGUCAUUACAUUCAAGAAUAUGACCCCUUCUCCUUUUAUCCGCUGCUACUUUGAAAAUGGCAAAGACAUCAUCAUAGAUAUUGACAGCAAGAGUAGAGAAGAGAUAGAUGGUCAUUUGAUCAAUGUUCUCGGAAAAUCCAAAGAACUCCUUGAGGCAGAAGCAAAAAUGGCUGAGAAGCAAGACAAUCCGGCAAAUUUUGGCUAUGGUUGCGCCAAGCCCUGCAUGUGCACGAUUCCCGGACAAGUACCCUGUCCAGCUGUUGUCCCUUUGCCCUACCACAUGCGCGGAAAAUACAAAUACCAGAAGGAUUAAUUUAAGCGAAUUACUGAACUUAUAUCGCAAGAUUCUUUGGGAGUGAACGGAUGUAGAGAGGAUCGCUAAGGUUUCAUGCUGAAUUUUUAAACAAAUUUUGUUAAGUAAGAAUCAGAGACAAUAUUUAACGAGUGAAAUAGUAACUGCAACAAUUAAUAACUUAAAAUAUUGCAUGUAUAUAAGAAUCAAAUGUGUUGACCCUAUCGGAGUCGUACUGUAUUUUCUUUUGAACAGCUUUAGAUUUAUGAUAUUUUUUGUCAAUUGGAUUAUGAUGACUUAGUAAAUGAAAUACAAUUAUCC